This is a long non-coding RNA of Myripristis murdjan (pinecone soldierfish), 775 nucleotides long. RefSeq lists it as uncharacterized. NCBI's taxonomy places the organism in Eukaryota, Metazoa, Chordata, Actinopteri, Holocentriformes, Holocentridae. The transcript is spliced from 3 exons. The record is from RefSeq and is a predicted model, not a curated record.
GUCAAGAGGACCCCAUCAGGUCCUCUUGUGGAGCUAGAGGAGGUGCAGCAGCUCUGUCGGAUGGGAAACAGCAGUAAGGGAGUACUCUUCAGUGUGUGUGUGUGUGUGUGUGUGUGUGUGUGUGUGUGAGUGUGUGUGUGAUGUGGGCAGAAGCAUGUGGUAUGGUGCAAGUGGUGGUGACUGGCCUCAUCUAGUGAUCCCCUCCCCCUGCCAUCGGUCUCCCCCUCAUUCUUCCACAUAAUGUUAAUCAGCCUCCAGUAUCAGUGGAUGGGACACUUUAGGCUUACCUAAUGACGGAGAGCUCACCCACUGUGGUCAGGCAGAGCUGUGUCUUGGUCUGCAGGAUUCAAAGAAGAAAAUCUGCACAGAAAAAUGCCACAAACGUUGACAGGAAAAGUGAAAGUCGGCCAGAUGACUGAUACAGCCAUCAGCAAUGCUAACAGUAUCAUCAUCAUAUUCAUUAUGAUGCUCUACAAUAUGCUCAAAAAGCUCCUUCAAUGCAUCUUUCUUCUCAGCCACUGUGCGGCAAUCUGGAAGUAAAAUUCCACCUUCUUGGUGUGACUCAUGGGAGUCGCCUCUGACACAUUUCAUCCAGCAGUCGUGGCGCCUUUGAGGACCUGGAGAAGAAUGCAACUAGUCCAGCGUGAGAGGAAUAUUUUACAUUCUCUUAUUAUUCUCUUAUUUUUAAUCCUUGGCUUCUGUUCAAAUGGUGUUCUAGCAAAUGAUAUAGCUAAUAAAUCCACCACAGCAUCCACCAGUUGUUCUCCUUCAGACA